UUGUUUUCUGAGCAUCAUAGGCCCAAGAAGUCAAGCUUAACCCUGUUACACUGAAAGGGAAACUAGAUUAUGUUUUUAAUUGACUUAAUUUGGUAUUAAAUAAAUAUUGUUCUGUAAUUUUAACAUUUUCUUACUUACAGAAAUGGACUUGUCAAUGUUGUGUGAGAAGGACGGGGUUGUGGAUGUCCCCACAGAAUCUUUGUAAAAAAAAAUUGCUCUGGAGAAAACAAAACUUGAUUCUUCGCAUUGAAAGUUUCCAUCCAGAAAUUGACCUUGGUGAUGUUGCUGUAAGGCAAAAAUAGCAUGAAUUAGAUUCUUCUGUUCCUGUUCCUAAAAGCAAAAAAAUUCUUGAGAAAAAGGAAAUCCAGAAAUGAUCAGGAAUGUGGUGACAGGUCAGAGUUGGAAAAAUAGUAGAGCCUCUUGUUGUUAGUAAAGCAGCCCGCCAAACCACCAUGAAAGAGACUGAAAUGACUACUGCACAGAUAACAUUUUGAGCUGGACAAUCAGUGAAUUGAGCUGUAGAAACCAAGUGACAGAAAACAUAUCUUUUAGGCCAGGAAAAAUCAAUCUUUAGAUAUUCAAAAUAAUGUCAGGCACUUUAAUCUAUA
Saccostrea cuccullata (small rock oyster) is the source of this 608-nucleotide long non-coding RNA. RefSeq lists it as uncharacterized. The record is from RefSeq and is a predicted model, not a curated record. The transcript is spliced from 3 exons. Lineage: Eukaryota; Metazoa; Mollusca; Bivalvia; Ostreida; Ostreidae.